AUGGUGGAGGAACCGUCCGCCAAGCGACAUCAUGGCGAGACGUCAGACAAGAGAACCCUCACAGGGGUUGAGCUCCACGGCAAAGAGACGCUGGAGAUCGUCUGCACCAGCAAACCAGACAAGGUCGACGAGAUGAUGAGGAGGCUCAGGAUGAAGGGUGGCGGCUUGUAUCCGAGCUUCAUCGGAGUUGAUGUGGAAUACACAAGUGAAGAUGAAACUCCACAGAUGACGGCAGUCCUGCAGUUGUGCGUCGAGGAAUUCUGCUUGGUGUACCACAUCGCAGCGGCCACAAAGUGGACCAAGAGCCUCAAACAGUUCCUGCGGGAGGAGAAAUUGUACACAUUUGUCGGUUUUAGCAUUGGAGGUGACAAGCGCAUGCUGGACAAGUCUGGUUUGGAGAUCAACCCCAACAAUUUCAUCGACAUGCAGCGCAAGUGGAAAGAUCCAACCACCAACAAAUACUAUGACUCCUUGGCUGAUGUUGCAGGCGGUGUCAUCCACUCAUUCUAG
RNAcentral lists this ribosomal RNA (510 nucleotides) under Triticum aestivum (bread wheat). RNAcentral's name for it is "partial small subunit ribosomal RNA". The record is from RNAcentral. Lineage: Eukaryota; Viridiplantae; Streptophyta; Magnoliopsida; Poales; Poaceae.